UACGGAGGGUGCAAGCGUUGUUCGGAAUUAUUGGGCGUAAAGCGCGUGUAGGCGGUUUUUUAAGUCUGAUGUGAAAGCCCCGGGCUCAACCUGGGAAGUGCAUUGGAUACUGGAAGACUUGAGUACGGGAGAGGGUAGUGGAAUUCCUAGUGUAGGAGUGAAAUCCGUAGAUAUCCGGAGGAACACCAGUGGCGAAGGCGGCCACCUGGACGACAACUGAUGCUGAGGAGCGAAAGCGUGGGUAGCAAACAGGAUUAGAUACCCCAGUAGU
This 271-nucleotide ribosomal RNA is filed under the name uncultured bacterium. Its description in RNAcentral is "partial 16S ribosomal RNA". It matches the Rfam family "Bacterial small subunit ribosomal RNA", at positions 524 to 794 of the family's 1533-position model. The record is from RNAcentral.